GUUUGACCUCAAAUCAGGUAGGAUUACCCGCUGAACUUAAGCAUAUCAAUAAGCGGAGGAAAAGAAACCAACAGGGAUUGUCUCAGUAACGGCGAGUGAAGCGACAAAAGCUCAAAUUUGAAAUCUAGCACCUUCGGUGUUCGAGUUGUAAUUUGAAGAAGGUAACUUUGGUUUUGGCUCUUGUCUAUGUUCCUUGGAACAGGACGUCACAGAGGGUGAGAAUCCCGUGCGAUGAGAUGCCCAAUUCCAUGUAAAGUGCUUUCGAAGAGUCGAGUUGUUUGGGAAUGCAGCUCUAAGUGGGUGGUAAAUUCCAUCUAAAGCUAAAUAUUGGCGAGAGACCGAUAGCGAACAAGUACAGUGAUGGAAAGAUGAAAAGAACUUUGAAAAGAGAGUGAAAAAGUACGUGAAAUUGUUGAAAGGGAAGGGCUUGGGAUCAGACUUGGUAUUUUGUAUGUUUUACUUUCGGGUGGAGCCUCUGCAGUUUACCGGGCCAGCAUCAGUUUGGAUGGUAGGAUAAUGACAUUGGAAUGUGGCUCCUCGGAGUGUUAUAGCCCUUGUUGAUACUGCCUAUCUAGACUGAGGACUGCGUCUUUGACUAGGAUGCUGGCAUAAUGAUUCUAAGUCGCCCGUCUUGAAACACGGACC
Molecule: ribosomal RNA, 645 nt
Filed under: Scheffersomyces queiroziae
Lineage: Eukaryota; Fungi; Ascomycota; Pichiomycetes; Serinales; Debaryomycetaceae
Description: LSU rRNA
Rfam family: Eukaryotic large subunit ribosomal RNA
Source: RNAcentral